Molecule: long non-coding RNA, 2416 nt
Organism: Asparagus officinalis (garden asparagus)
Lineage: Eukaryota; Viridiplantae; Streptophyta; Magnoliopsida; Asparagales; Asparagaceae
Exons: 3
Source: RefSeq, a predicted model, not a curated record
UCUUCAAAAGACCGUAUUUUUGUGAUGUCACUGUGGAUUUGAUGGUAUCUUAAACAUGCUCUCUGCAGGUGUGAUGAAAAGGCCCUCGAAGAUUCUUUAUGUAAGCGUAUAAUUGUCACUCGCUAUGAGAACAUAACAAAAUGUCUUGAUCCAGAGACUACAUCUCUCAGUAGAGAUGCCUUGGCAAAAAUUGUUUACUCACAGUUAUUUGAUUGACUUGCAGGCUCAUGAACAAGAUAAAUAAUUCAAUAGGGCAAGAUCCUAAUUCGAAGGUUUUGAUCGGGGUGUUGGAUAUUUAUGGUUUUGAACUUUCACUUGCAAUUUAUAUAUAUGCUCUCUGCAGCUUCCUUAAAGAAAAACCAGUGGCUGCUCCUACUGCUUCUGUUGAACUCUUUUUCUGUUUCUAACUUGUGUUCUUUCCUGCUCUGAGUAGAUAGUAAAUGGGUUGCUGCAAAGAUAAGACUGGGAUACUGCAAUCAAGGUGCCCCUUGGAAUAAUUCCAGCACAUACAUUGCCAUAUUUCCCAACAUGUAAUCUUCAACCAUAUUAUACACUAUUAGAUGCAGUAAGGUGUUGCAGAAAGUUAUGCCAACAUAGCAUAAUAGUUCGGUCUUCUAAAUAAUGACAAUGUUUCGAAUUUGAAAAUGGGCUGAAAUUGGGAGAAAACCAGUGAAUACUCAACUUCUGCAAAAUUCCAUUAAUCAUGACAUCACCACCCCUAACUUGCACCAUGUUUACACUUUACAUUCCACAUGCACUAAGGUUCUCCCUUGAUUCAUUCUUAGUUAAAGCUAUCUUAGCUUCUUGCAUACGCACUAAACUUUUACCUCCUAGUUAACAAAUUUCCUCUUACCCAUUUCAAGUGUUCUUUUUAGCUACAAUUAUUUGCUGAUAGUGUCAUGCCUCUUUUUCUCUUCCUUUUCAGGCUUCUAUCAUAUUACCCAAUUGUUUGACUAAACUGUGAUACCUUACACAUUGUGGUUUCGUUUUUUUCUCCAAUUAAUCUUCCUAUAUUUAGAAAGUGAAGAAAAAAGAUAUUGGUAAAGGAAUUCUCAAUAAUCCUUCUUACUCAAAGAUUAUUUUUCUAUUACUCUUCAUUUUGAGUUUCCACUUCUACAAGAAAAUAACUUGAUAGAAAAAAAGUAAUUUUUCAUAUUUUAACAAAGGAUAAAUAUCUAUAUGUGAAAAGAAACUCUUGUAUGAAUUCUUCUUUCUGACAGCGAAACUCUUAGAUGGACUUUUUUCCCCUCUUUUCUUUUCUGUGAUCGCUAUUAUAUUUUAUUUUUAAUUGAUUUAUAACAGAAACUAUUCCUUGCAUUGUACCUUUUCAAACCCUCAUUCUUUCAUCCAUCAAGAUGUUCCCCCAGCUCAAUAGAUACUGCUUUGCCUGCUUUUACUAGAUAGAGUGAGUGACAUCCAGGAUAAGAAAAGGGGUCCUCUGCUCCCUUCUGGAAAGGCGGGAAACUACUUGAAUUCUUGCAGGAACCCAAUGUCAGUGGAGAUGCAAAGGAUGCGGCAACAACUUGAAUUCUUGCAGGCAGAGCUGCUUGCUCGCAGUGGAGGGGCUCCAACCAAUGAGUUCAGGAUGGUCAGCUCAUGAUUGUAAGCUCUGUACUAUUUGGACUGGAUGAGACUAGUAUCUUCAGUUUGGGCUCUGAUGGGAAGGUAUGCUAGUGGCUUCAUGAAUUGCAAAACACCCUUUGUUUGAAGCGGAUCAAAUUAACAUCUCUGCCUAGCCUAUUCUCUCUGAAAGUGUGAAUAUUCAUUUUUGCCAAUUUUCACUUCUGAAACAUAUAUGCAGCUAUUGCGAGUAGGAUAAAGUUUAUUCCUUGACUUGAUACGCCCAUAACAUCUCUGCCUGUUUCCUCUGAAAUUCUGAUCUUUCAUUUAUGCCAAUUAUCACUUCUCAAAGCUUAAGUUUGUGCCAACUAAAGCCUUGCUCCAUGGUAAAGGUAAGGUGUGAGAUUAGAUAAUGGGAGCAACCUUUGUUCAAUAGAAAGAGGAAAAAAGAAGGCUUGUCAUUAUCUGCACAAAGAGUAUUUUCUGUAAAUGACUUGAUAAUUUCUAUGUUGUAAAUAACUUGAUAACUUUAUACAUUUACUUUGAAGGGUUUAAUACUUGUGCUUACUCAUCUUUUUAUCUUGAUGUACGCAGGAAAACAUCUGAAGAUCCAUGUUUGUCGCUCUUUAGGGGAUUUAUCUGUUGUGAAGAUUUAGAACUUAAUCGUCCCAAUAGAGACAUUUUGACCUUUUGAUUAAGUAGAAGCUCUUUGUUUUAAUCAUGGAGGAUUUGUGAUAUGUGCUUAAUUUGGUAAGUUUGUGUGUAAAACUUGUGAAGAAUUAUCUCAAUCCUAUUGCUAUAAUAUUGUUCUUCGUUGUAAUGAAUUGUUCAUUAUAUUAAGGCUAAAGUUUGGUUA